UUGAACGCUGGCGGCAGGCCUAACACAUGCAAGUCGAACGGUAACAGGAAACAGCUUGCUGUUUCGCUGACGAGUGGCGGACGGGUGAGUAAUGUCUGGGAAACUGCCUGAUGGAGGGGGAUAACUACUGGAAACGGUAGCUAAUACCGCAUAACGUCGCAAGACCAAAGGGGGGGACCUUCGGGCCUCUUGCCAUCAGAUGUGCCCAGAUGGGAUUAGCUAGUAGGUGGGGUAACGGCUCACCUAGGCGACGUUCCCUAGCUGGUCUGAGAGGAUGACCAGCCACACUGGAACUGAGACACGGUCCAGACUCCUACGGGAGGCAGCAGUGGGGAAUAUUGCACAAUGGGCGCAAGCCUGAUGCAGCCAUGCCGCGUGUAUGAAGAAGGCCUUCGGGUUGUAAAGUACUUUCAGCGGGGAGGAAGGGAGUAAAGUUAAUACCUUUGCUCAUUGACGCUACCCGCAGAAGAAGCACCGGCUAACUCCGUG
RNAcentral lists this ribosomal RNA (489 nucleotides) under uncultured bacterium. RNAcentral describes it as "partial 16S ribosomal RNA". It matches the Rfam family "Bacterial small subunit ribosomal RNA", at positions 30 to 507 of the family's 1533-position model. The record is from RNAcentral.